AGAGUUUGAUCAUGGCUCAGGAUGAACGCUGGCGGCGUGCUUAACACAUGCAAGUCGAACGAACCUUCGGGUUAGUGGCGGACGGGUGAGUAACGCGUGAGAAUCUGCCCUCAGGAGGGGGAUAACGGUUGGAAACGACCGCUAAUACCCCAUAUGCCUAUUGGUGAAAUGAAUUUCGCCUGAGGAUGAGCUCGCGUCUGAUUAGCUAGUUGGUGAGGUAAUGGCUCACCAAGGCUUCGAUCAGUAGCUGGUCUGAGAGGAUGAUCAGCCACACUGGGACUGAGACACGGCCCAGACUCCUACGGGAGGCAGCAGUGGGGAAUUUUCCGCAAUGGGCGAAAGCCUGACGGAGCAACGCCGCGUGAGGGACGAAGGCCUCUGGGCUGUAAACCUCUUUUCUCAAGGAAGAAGAUAUGACGGUACUUGAGGAAUAAGCCACGGCUAAUUCCGUGCCAGCAGCCGCGGUAAUACGGGAGUGGCAAGCGUUAUCCGGAAUUAUUGGGCGUAAAGCGUCCGCAGGCGGCUUUUCAAGUCUGCUGUUAAAACGUGGAGCUUAACUCCAUCAUGGCAGUGGAAACUGAAAGGCUUGAGUAUGGUAGGGGCAGAGGGAAUUCCCGGUGUAGCGGUGAAAUGCGUAGAUAUCGGGAAGAACACCAGUGGCGAAGGCGCUCUGCUGGGCCAUUACUGACGCUCAUGGACGAAAGCCAGGGGAGCGAAAGGGAUUAGAUACCCCUGUAGUCCUGGCCGUAAACGAUGAACACUAGGUGUCGGGGGAAUCGACCCCUUCGGUGUCGUAGCUAACGCGUUAAGUGUUCCGCCUGGGGAGUACGCACGCAAGUGUGAAACUCAAAGGAAUUGACGGGGGCCCGCACAAGCGGUGGAGUAUGUGGUUUAAUUCGAUGAUACGCGAAGAACCUUACCGGCCCUUGACAUACCAAUCGCGGACUUAAGAGAUUAAGUCUUUCACUUCGGGUGGAUUGGAUACAGGUGCUGCAUGGCUGUCGUCAGCUCGUGUCGUGAGAUGUUGGGUUAAGUCCCGCAACGAGCGCAACCCUUACCUUCAAUUGCCAGCACAUUAUGGUGGGAACUUUGAAGGAACUGCCGGUGAUAAGCCGGAGGAAGGUGGGGAUGACGUCAAGUCCUCAUGGCCCUUACGGGCCGGGCUACACACGUGAUACAAUGGUAACUACAAAGGGCAGCGAAGGAGCGAUCUGGAGCAAAUCUCAAAAAGUUACCUCAGUUCGGAUUGCACUCUGCAACUCGAGUGCAUGAAGUUGGAAUCGCUAGUAAUCGUAGAUCAGCGCGCUACGGUGAAUACGUUCCCGGGUCUUGUACACACCGCCCGUCACACCAUGGGAGUUGGUUUUACCUGAAGCUGGUUCGCUAACCGUAAGGAGGCAGCCAACCACGGUAAGAUUAGCGACUGGGGUGAAGUCAUAACAAGGUAACCGUA
RNAcentral lists this ribosomal RNA (1453 nucleotides) under uncultured bacterium. Its description in RNAcentral is "partial 16S ribosomal RNA". It matches the Rfam family "Bacterial small subunit ribosomal RNA". The record is from RNAcentral.